UUGCGAUGAUGACUUCUUAGGACACCUUUGGAUUCAUGAUGAAAAGAAUUUUCAGAUCCUGAGCAAC
Molecule: small nucleolar RNA, 67 nt
Organism: Trichomycterus rosablanca
Lineage: Eukaryota; Metazoa; Chordata; Actinopteri; Siluriformes; Trichomycteridae
Product: small nucleolar RNA SNORD58
Exons: 1
Source: RefSeq, a predicted model, not a curated record